This 55-nucleotide transfer RNA is filed under the name Dipodomys ordii (Ord's kangaroo rat). It matches the Rfam family "tRNA", at positions 8 to 63 of the family's 71-position model. From Rfam's summary of the family: Transfer RNA (tRNA) molecules are approximately 80 nucleotides in length. Their secondary structure includes four short double-helical elements and three loops (D, anti-codon, and T loops). Further hydrogen bonds mediate the characteristic L-shaped molecular structure. tRNAs have two regions of fundamental functional importance: the anti-codon, which is responsible for specific mRNA codon recognition, and the 3' end, to which the tRNAs corresponding amino acid is attached (by aminoacyl-tRNA synthetases). tRNAs cope with the degeneracy of the genetic code in two manners: having more than one tRNA (with a specific anti-codon) for a particular amino acid; and 'wobble' base-pairing, i.e. permitting non-standard base-pairing at the 3rd anti-codon position. Lineage: Eukaryota; Metazoa; Chordata; Mammalia; Rodentia; Heteromyidae. The record is from Rfam by way of RNAcentral.
UGGCUUAGUGGUAGCGUUUGCCUUGCAUGCAAGAGGCCCUAGGUUUGAUUCCUGG